RNAcentral lists this ribosomal RNA (253 nucleotides) under uncultured bacterium. RNAcentral describes it as "partial 16S ribosomal RNA". It matches the Rfam family "Bacterial small subunit ribosomal RNA", at positions 524 to 776 of the family's 1533-position model. The record is from RNAcentral.
UACGUAGGUGGCAAGCGUUGUCCGGAAUUAUUGGGCGUAAAGCGCGCGCAGGUGGUUUCUUAAGUCUGAUGUGAAAGCCCACGGCUCAACCGUGGAGGGUCAUUGGAAACUGGGGGACUUGAGUGCAGGAGAGAAGAGUGGAAUUCCACGUGUAGCGGUGAAAUGCGUAGAGAUGUGGAGGAACACCAGUGGCGAAGGCGACUCUUUGGUCUGUAACUGACGCUGAGGCGCGAAAGCAUGGGGAGCGAACGGG